AUAGGAGUCUCCUGGGGAUCUUGUUGAAUUGCAGAUUCAGAUUCAACAGGUCGGGGUGGGGCCUGAGAUGCUGCACUUCUAACAGGCUUCCUGGAAAUGCCCAC
This 104-nucleotide microRNA precursor is filed under the name Marmota monax (woodchuck). The record is from RNAcentral. Lineage: Eukaryota; Metazoa; Chordata; Mammalia; Rodentia; Sciuridae.